UCCUGAUAAAGCUAAACCCACCGUGAGAUGGGGGCGGAAAGCCUCGGAUCUUGCAAGAGAUGGCCGGACUGCCUGG
This 76-nucleotide non-coding RNA is filed under the name Candidatus Vecturithrix granuli. Its description in RNAcentral is "Bacterium UASB270 c-di-GMP sequence". It matches the Rfam family "c-di-GMP-I riboswitch aptamer". Rfam says of the family: GEMM was predicted in a large-scale screen for bacterial structured RNA regulatory elements. Genes associated with GEMM are involved in a diverse array of functions, including chemotaxis regulation, signal transduction, secretion and chitin. Lineage: Bacteria; Candidatus Moduliflexota; Candidatus Vecturitrichia; Candidatus Vecturitrichales; Candidatus Vecturitrichaceae. The record is from Rfam by way of RNAcentral.